This is a long non-coding RNA of Chiroxiphia lanceolata (lance-tailed manakin), 888 nucleotides long. RefSeq lists it as uncharacterized. Lineage: Eukaryota; Metazoa; Chordata; Aves; Passeriformes; Pipridae. The record is from RefSeq and is a predicted model, not a curated record. The transcript has 4 exons.
CUCAGCUGGGAGUAGAAUUUGAAGAGGAAACUGUGCUGCUCUGGCAGCUCCCCUGCUGAAUUUCUUGAAGAUAGGAUUUUUCCUUUAGACCUAGAGAUUGUUCUGCUUAUUAAACUACCUCAGCAAGACAGCUUUGUCUUGGGACCUGUUGAGUGGUUUCCCCUUUUCUGCAUAAGGAAUGGAUUGCAUGUGUAUGGAUUGCAUCUGCUAAUUCCUGGUUUGUACUUCAGUGAUGGAUUCCCAAGGCCUGUGCUGUGCUGGUCCUCAAAGGUGAUGGUAUCAUUCUUCUUUACAAUGUAAAUUCAGUAUGCCCUGUACUGACAAUUAGAAAAAGCUGUGCUAAAAUUACAUAUGGAGGAAAGGACCUUGGUCUUCACACAGCAGUACUGAAGUUAGAGCUGUUAGUAACAAAUCAAAUAAAAUCCAUGCUGCCAAGAGAAGAGAGUAUGCUCAUCUUGCUUUCUUCAUGCACUGUGGAAGGUUGUCAGCUGCUUCUUUGAAGUUAACUAAUGAUCAUGCAAGCUGUGAAUCUGUAGUGGGAGCCAGGAUCUCCCUGGUGCUGUAGCAGCACAGCUUCCACGUGCUGGCUCUCUCCUGUUACCUUGUGUGGUGUUAUUCAGGUCCCUUAUUCAUCUGGAAUAGAUCUUGCUGAGGCAGAAAGAGGCCGUGGGAGGACGUUUGAGAGGAAAAGGAGUUGUGUGGUUUCUUCAUCACUCUUGCUGUUAAGCUGAAGCUGUGUUUGCAUCUGGUUCAUACUUAACGUGUCACUACCACCGUGUGAGAGCAGCACCUCCAUGGCAGACAGUUUGGGUUCUAGAGCCAGCUUGGCACAGUACAUUGGGUUUUUUCUUUCCUUUUUUCCUCCCUUUUUCUAAGAAUAACUUCAGG